RNAcentral lists this ribosomal RNA (86 nucleotides) under Listeria monocytogenes. RNAcentral describes it as "partial 23S ribosomal RNA". It matches the Rfam family "Bacterial large subunit ribosomal RNA", at positions 1 to 78 of the family's 2925-position model. Lineage: Bacteria; Bacillati; Bacillota; Bacilli; Caryophanales; Listeriaceae. The record is from RNAcentral.
AGUAAAUUGGUUAAGUUAGAAAGGGCGCACGGUGGAUGCCUUGGCACUAGGAGCCGAAGAAGGACGGGACUAACACCGAUAUGCUU